RNAcentral lists this ribosomal RNA (433 nucleotides) under uncultured bacterium. RNAcentral's name for it is "bacterial SSU rRNA". It matches the Rfam family "Bacterial small subunit ribosomal RNA", at positions 355 to 796 of the family's 1533-position model. The record is from RNAcentral.
UCGAGGAUCUUCGGCAAUGGGCGCAAGCCUGACCGAGCGACGCCGCGUGUGCGAAGAAGGCCUUCGGGUUGUAAAGCACUGUCGAGGGGGAGGAAAGCCGCAAGGUCUGACCUAACCCUGGAGGAAGCACGGGCUAAGUUCGUGCCAGCAGCCGCGGUAAGACGAACCGUGCGAACGUUGUUCGGAAUCACUGGGCUUAAAGGGCGCGUAGGCGGCUGACCCAGUCGGGGGUGAAAUCUUUCGGCUUAACCGGAAAAGUGCCUUCGAUACUGGUCAGCUCGAGCGAGGUAGGGGCAGGGGGAACUUCCGGUGGAGCGGUGAAAUGCGUUGAUAUCGGAAGGAACGCCGGUGGCGAAAGCGCCCUGCUGGACCUCAUCUGACGCUGAGGCGCGAAAGCCAGGGGAGCAAACGGGAUUAGAUACCCCCGUAGUCC